UUCGAGCAGGUGCAGAGGGCAUAUGUCUUCUGUCUUUAGAAAGGACUGGUAUCCACCUGAACCAGAAAAAAAAAAAAGAUGGCAGAUUCAUAUAUUUGAACUCUACCAUUCCUGAAUGCAAAUGUAUAUAAGCAGCUGCCCUCUAGAACUGGCAUGUCAAACUCGCAUAAAUGGCUCAGAAUGUGGGCUUGGGAAAGGAAGAGCUUAUACUGUUCCCAGGCUUAAUGCUUUGCUAUCAAGAAACCAGAAGAAAGGUAUAGCAACAUUCCCUUACAGAAACAAAUCUGCUCUUGGGUGAAGUGUGAGACUGAAUCAGCAACACAUAUUCUGCUAAGCUGUCCAUUAUACUAUACAUGGUACUCUGAACUGAUAUCACUAACAAUUUCUCCAACUGUAUCAUGAAAGUGAAUACAUCUGUCCCUAAUUUUUUCUUUCAGGUCUCCAAUGGUAUAUUUAUUACCACUGUAGCUCAUUCCAUUCACCUUGCUGCUGGUUAUCUUCUCUCUUUCCUUCUACCUCAGUGUUUCUUAACCUUGACAAUUUUAAGGCAAUGCUGGCUGUUGAAUUCCACAUGCCUUAAAAUUGUCAAGGGUGAGAAACACUGUUCUACCUUUUUCAACAUUAAAACUUCUUUAGGAAACUGAAUCAUCACAUAAUGUACGGUAUCUAAAGUAGGAUAAUUUGAGCCUGGUCAUUUGUGCCUCAGUGAGAACUCUGGGUUGAUUUGUUUGAUGGUCCAUCUCUUUGUUCUCUGACCAGAGCAUUCACAAAAGUCUUCACCAAAGCUCAAGUUUGAAAGCAUCAAUCCCCUUCCUAUCCUGUUUCUUCAAAGUUCAAUGCUACUCAGGCACAAUUGCUUCUAAUGAAAUUUAGCUAUAGCUAAGUUCUGGUAAUUCCACGUCAAAAUACAGUUAGCUGCAUUUUCUCUUAAUAGUUUAUUAGAUGUUUGUUGCUUAAUGUUUUGUACAAAAUGUUGUUCUGUAUGACCAUGAAUAAAAUGUGAUCCUUUUUUU
Molecule: long non-coding RNA, 1013 nt
Organism: Crotalus tigris (Tiger rattlesnake)
Lineage: Eukaryota; Metazoa; Chordata; Lepidosauria; Squamata; Viperidae
Exons: 3
Source: RefSeq, a predicted model, not a curated record